Non-coding RNA from Oryzias latipes (Japanese medaka), 1664 nucleotides. NCBI's taxonomy places the organism in Eukaryota, Metazoa, Chordata, Actinopteri, Beloniformes, Adrianichthyidae. The record is from RefSeq and is a predicted model, not a curated record.
AGCAACCGGAAGCAAUACUGGAGUAAACAGUUGCGUGCAGAACUGAUUUUGUUGUUUGUGGCGCUGAAACUUCUUUCAUACCGUCUACCUUUUUCUUUUCCCAUCAUCCUCUUACAGGUCCAAAAUGACGCUGAACGUAAAGAACUACACCUGGACCCAAACAGAGUCGACGGUCAAUAUCCGCGUGCCGAUUAAAGGCGCGAGAGCCUCGAACGUGGACAUCGUGUCAACGGACGAGUAUCUGAAGGUCCAUUUCCCUCCAUUUCUGUUCGAGGCCUUCUUGUUUGAAAUGGUUGAUGACAGCAGGAGCACAGCAAAGAUUGGAAAUGGAGUCAUUGUUUUCACUCUGCAGAAGAGAGCCUGUAGACUGUGGGAGCAUCUGAUGGUCCAUACAAAUGACAAAGAAACAAUGAGGGAAAUCAGGGAGAGAGCCCAGCAGCAAUUCCAGCAGAAGGUUUGUGCAGAGAGCAGAGAGAAGGCAGAAAAACAGCAUGCAGACAAGAAGUACGCUCUGCAGACAAUGAUACAGCUCGAAAAAGAGGAAAAAGACAGAAUCCAGAAGAUGAAGGACGCAGAGCGAGAGAAAGCCAGCGCUGAGCUUGAGGCGUUGCAGCAGAGGCAGGAGGCACAAGAAAAGGACCAACAUGACAUCGACAAUCAGAUCCAGGAGAGAGCAGAGGAUCAAAAAAGUCGAUUUAAGGUUUUCACGAAAUUCAGAGAGGCUUGCAACAACCUCAAGAAGAAGAAAGCAGCCAAGCUGCCACCUGAGAGACCCAGAGGCAACAUUCGGUUCGCUUUCACCCCUCGAGCUUUCCCAACGGCACUUAGAGAGUCACAAAUGGCUGAGGAAGAGGAGUGGCUCAGGGCGCAGGCCGAGGCCAGAGGAGCGGCGAGUGCAGACGCUCUAGAGCUGACGGACCUGACGAAGGAGGAGAGGAACCCCGAUUGGCUGAAGGACAAAGGAGACAAGUGUUUUAGGGUGGGGGACUACAUGGGGGCGCUGAACGCCUACAGCCUGGCCAUCAGGAUCAACAAGAAGAUCCCGGCUCUGUUUUCAAACAGGGCAGCGUGUCACCUGAUGCUAAAGAAUCUGCACAAAGCCAUCCAGGAUGCUUCUGAGGCGCUCGAGCUGCUGACUCCUGCAGUGGCUGCAAACGCCACCGCCAGACUCCGACCAACAGUUCGUCGAGGAACUGCCUUCUGCCUGCUGCAGCUAUAUGAAGAAGGGUUACAGGACUACGAGGCUGCCCUGAAGAUUGACCCCCAUAACCAGGCUCUGCAGGCAGACACACAGAGUAUCAGAGACGUCAUCCAGACCUCUUCAGCCAGACAGUUGCACUGACUAACCCUACCGUUCUUCCUUCAUCAUUAAAAGUGCAUGGGAUUAUGCUGCAGAUUUUCUAUUUUUGAGCAGAUUGAAGAAGUGCAUUUCAUGGUUAAAAAAAUAUGGUCCUCUCCAGGGCUUUCCGCUGGAGGUCUGAGAAGACAGCACGCCGCAGCAUGCCCCUCCUGGGCUUCCCUCUGGGGGCCAGGGGCCAGGAGAAGGUUCCUGGGACGGGAACCACAGAGGAGGAGGCUGGAGGGAGGAAGCACAGAAGGCAGUGAAAAUUUGUUCAACCUGAAGCAAUAAAACCUUCAGCUAAGAAUAAAAAAAAUGAUUGAAA